This 486-nucleotide long non-coding RNA is filed under the name Ananas comosus (pineapple). RNAcentral describes it as "long non-coding RNA (ACOM_LNC019871)". The record is from RNAcentral. Lineage: Eukaryota; Viridiplantae; Streptophyta; Magnoliopsida; Poales; Bromeliaceae.
GCUAUAGGUUGAAUCACUGUUAAUGACCCUCCAGAAUACCUGAAAAAACUCGGAACACAGAUCAAACACUCGAACAUCGCAAUUUGCAAAGGUCCAGUGUGUUACAUUGGGUGUAACGGCUAAAACCACAAAUCUCAAUGUGAUAAAAAUAAAUGCGAAAAAUAAAAAUCACACCGAGAUUUAUAUAAAAAAACUCCAACUUGGAGUAAAAAACCCACGGGACUAACACGCGAAAAAAUAAUUCACUAAGGCUGCGUUUGGUUCGGGUAUAAGUAAGAACUGUUAGUUCCAGGGAUAGGUACAAGUUCAGGUAUAAGCAGGAACUAGACCAAUUUUAUGUUUGGAUAAAAAUUGGGUUGUUCAUAGGAAUAAGGUAAAUAGUGUUUGGAUGGUUAGAUCGGAACAAGAGGAAUAAAAGUUAUAAUUUGAAAUUAAAAUUAUAUUAUGUAAUUAAUUAACAUCAAAAUAUUAUUUAAAAAUAAAUAA